AUUGAACGCUGGCGGCAUGCUUUACACAUGCAAGUCGAACGGUAACAGGCCGCAAGGUGCUGACGAGUGGCGAACGGGUGAGUAAUGCAUCGGAACGUGCCCAGUCGUGGGGGAUAACGCAGCGAAAGCUGCGCUAAUACCGCAUACGAUCUAUGGAUGAAAGCGGGGGACCGUAAGGCCUCGCGCGAUUGGAGCGGCCGAUGUCAGAUUAGGUAGUUGGUGGGGUAAAGGCUCACCAAGCCAACGAUCUGUAGCUGGUCUGAGAGGACGACCAGCCACACUGGAACUGAGACACGGUCCAGACUCCUACGGGAGGCAGCAGUGGGGAAUUUUGGACAAUGGGCGCAAGCCUGAUCCAGCAAUGCCGCGUGCAGGAAGAAGGCCUUCGGGUUGUAAACUGCUUUUGUACGGAACGAAACGGCGAGCUCUAAUACAGUUUGCUAAUGACGGUACCGUAAGAAUAAGCACCGGCUAACUAC
This 479-nucleotide ribosomal RNA is filed under the name uncultured bacterium. RNAcentral describes it as "bacterial SSU rRNA". It matches the Rfam family "Bacterial small subunit ribosomal RNA", at positions 30 to 504 of the family's 1533-position model. The record is from RNAcentral.